UGGGUGAGAGGAGGAGUUUGGCAGCUGCUGUGUGUGUCAACAAUGCAUAUUAAGUAGCCAUGUGCACCAGGUCUAAACAGUGAUGACAAUAGACACAGAGGCCCAGUCUUGGAGUUUUAAUGAAAGACAAUUAUUAUUGCAAUUUAAAUCCAAUGAACAAAUGUCAGCAAUCUUUACAAAUCGAAUAACACACAGUAAUUAAUGUAAUGUUACAGUAUAUAUAUAUAUAUAUUAUAUUGUGUGUGUGUGCAUUCAUACAGGCUCUAUCUAUUUCUUUUAACAGUCAUGUGUAUGUAUAACAUUGGCGCUAGUGCAUCUUGGCCCGACCUGUGGACAGAAAUGUCUAUACUAGCAAAAGGUUCAUCACUAUCCUGUCUGUCUGUCUUUGCUAUACAGUCCUUUAAUUGAACUAUGUAAAUAAAAUGUUAAUGUGCUAAUUAAAACAUGCAUUUUGCUUGGGAACGGA
Salmo salar (Atlantic salmon) is the source of this 466-nucleotide non-coding RNA. The record is from RefSeq and is a predicted model, not a curated record. NCBI's taxonomy places the organism in Eukaryota, Metazoa, Chordata, Actinopteri, Salmoniformes, Salmonidae.